RNAcentral lists this small nuclear RNA (117 nucleotides) under Cimex lectularius (bed bug). Its description in RNAcentral is "U5 spliceosomal RNA". It matches the Rfam family "U5 spliceosomal RNA". Rfam says of the family: U5 RNA is a component of both types of known spliceosome. The precise function of this molecule is unknown, though it is known that the 5' loop is required for splice site selection and p220 binding, and that both the 3' stem-loop and the Sm site are important for Sm protein binding and cap methylation. The record is from RNAcentral. Lineage: Eukaryota; Metazoa; Arthropoda; Insecta; Hemiptera; Cimicidae.
AAUCUCUGGUCUCCUUUCACAACGAAUAAAUCUUUCGCCUUUUACUAAAGAGUUCCUGGAAUGGGACUCACUGAUGAGUCUGUAAUGAAACUGUUUAUAGUGCCAAAAAUAAGACAU